UGGUGGAGCAUGUGGUUUAAUUCGAUGCAACGCGAAGAACCUUACCUACUCUUGACAUCCACAGAAUUCGGCAGAGAUGCCUUAGUGCCUUCGGGAACUGUGAGACAGGUGCUGCAUGGCUGUCGUCAGCUCGUGUUGUGAAAUGUUGGGUUAAGUCCCGCAACGAGCGCAACCCUUAUCCUUUGUUGCCAGCACGUAAUGGUGGGAACUCAAAGGAGACUGCCGGUGAUAAACCGGAGGAAGGUGGGGAUGACGUCAAGUCAUCAUGGCCCUUACGAGUAGGGCUACACACGUGCUACAAUGGCGUAUACAAAGAGAAGCGAACUCGCGAGAGCCAGCGGACCUCAUAAAGUACGUCGUAGUCCGGAUCGGAGUCUGCAACUCGACUCCGNGAAG
Molecule: ribosomal RNA, 396 nt
Filed under: Serratia sp. AZTITEMP208
Lineage: Bacteria; Pseudomonadati; Pseudomonadota; Gammaproteobacteria; Enterobacterales; Yersiniaceae
Description: bacterial SSU rRNA
Rfam family: Bacterial small subunit ribosomal RNA
Source: RNAcentral